UCUCUCCAUAUCUAGAAAAUAAAAUUUUGGUCAUCUUACCUAUAAGACAAGAUUUAUAAGUUUCCAAUGAUUCAUAAUCAUAUGGAUCAAAGAAUUCUUCUUUGUAUAACUUGUUAAUCCUUGACUCACUAAUAUAACCAAGGCGACAAUGCCAGAGAUAUGUGACAUUCAUAUCUUCUCUCUUUCUUUUCAUAUUUCUUUCAAUA
RNAcentral lists this long non-coding RNA (206 nucleotides) under Elaeis guineensis (African oil palm). Its description in RNAcentral is "long non-coding RNA (EGUI_LNC063389)". The record is from RNAcentral. Lineage: Eukaryota; Viridiplantae; Streptophyta; Magnoliopsida; Arecales; Arecaceae.